RNAcentral lists this long non-coding RNA (1311 nucleotides) under Pongo abelii (Sumatran orangutan). RNAcentral's name for it is "lncRNA (ENSPPYG00000036602.1)". Lineage: Eukaryota; Metazoa; Chordata; Mammalia; Primates; Hominidae. The record is from RNAcentral.
GGAGGGCAAGGUGGGUGGAUCUCGAGGGCAGGAGAUUGAGACCCUCCUGGCCAACAUGGUGAAACCCCGUCUCUACUAAAAUACAAAAAAUUAGCUGGGCAUGGUGGAGCACACCUGUAGUCCCAGCUACUCUGGAGGCUGAGGCAGGGGAAUCGCCUAAACCCAGGAGGCAGAGAUUGCAGUGAGCCCAGUUUCCGCCACUGCGCUUUAGCCUGGCGACAGAGCAAGGCUCCGUCUCAAAAAAAAAAAAAAAAAUUUAAAGGGGAAAAAAUUGAAAUUUUCUUUGUAUCUAGGGAUAUCCUUCACUGAACAGAAAUUCUUAAUUUUAGCUAGGCGUGAUGGCUCACGUCUGUAAUCCCAGCACUUUCGGUGGCCGAGAUGGGUGGAUCACUUGAGGCCAGGAGUUCAAGACCACUCUGACCAACUUGGUGAAAUCCCAUCUCUACUAAAAAUACAAAAAUUAGCUGGGUGCAGUGGCGCAUGCUUGUAAUAUCCCAGCUACUCGGGAGGCAGAGGCAGGAGAAUCACUUGAACCCGGGAGGUGGAGGCUGCAGUGAGCCGAGACAGCGCCACUGCACUUCAGCCUGAGUGACAAAGAGACUCUGUCUCAAAAAAAAAAAAAAGAAAAUUUUAAUUUUAAUGUAGACAGGAUGAAUUAUCUUGUUUUGCAGUUGGUUGCUUUUUGAUUGCUUAUUUAAUAGAGUUGUUAAGAUAUUUUACGUCUUCUGUUAGCUGUUCAGCUUUUCCUUUCAUAUUGAGAACACUACACAGUGCUGAAGUCCAGCUGGUGCACACAGGGGUGGCACCUUGGCUGCAUCUGUUCUCAACAGUCAGACACUUCUCAUUGGUUGAUGCUGGGCUGUACUGGUUGCUAAAUAUUGCACAUCAUUUUAAAACUAUUUGAGAUGCACUUUUGUACUCAGAAGGCCGAGGCAGGAGGAUUGCUUGAGCCCAGGAAUUUGAGACCAGCCUGGGCAACACAGCGAGACCUUGUCUCUUAAAAAAAAAAAGAGAGAGAAAUCGGCCGGGCAUGGUUUCUCAUGUCUGUAAUCCCAGAACUUUGGGAGGCUGAGGCAGGUGGAUCACCGGAGGUCAGGAAUUCAAGACUGAAACCUUGUCUCUACUGAAAAAAAAAAAAAAUUAGCUAGGUGUGGUGGCAGGCGCCUGUAAUCCCAGUUACUUCGGGAGGCUGAGGCAGGAGAAUAGCUUGAACCCAGGAGGCAGAGGUUGCAGUGAGCCAAGAUCAUGCCAUUGCACUCCAGCCUGGGCGACAAGAGUGAAACUCUGUCUCAAAAAAAAAAAAAAAAAAAA